AGUGAACGCUGGCGGUAGGCCUAACACAUGCAAGUCGAACGGCAGCACAGUAAGAGCUUGCUCUUACGGGUGGCGAGUGGCGGACGGGUGAGGAAUACAUCGGAAUCUACUUUUUCGUGGGGGAUAACGUAGGGAAACUUACGCUAAUACCGCAUACGACCUACGGGUGAAAGCAGGGGAUCUUCGGACCUUGCGCGAUUGAAUGAGCCGAUGUCGGAUUAGCUAGUUGGCGGGGUAAAGGCACACCAAGGCGACGAUCCGUAGCUGGUCUGAGAGGAUGAUCAGCCACACUGGAACUGAGACACGGUCCAGACUCCUACGGGAGGCAGCAGUGGGGAAUAUUGGACAAUGGGCGCAAGCCUGAUCCAGCCAUACCGCGUGAGUGAAGAAGGCCUUCGGGUUGUAAAGCCCUUUUGUUGGGAAAGAAAAACAGCAUAUUAAUACCCCGAUGUUCUGACGGUACCCAAAGAAUAAGCAACGGCUAACUUCGUG
This 492-nucleotide ribosomal RNA is filed under the name uncultured bacterium. RNAcentral describes it as "partial 16S ribosomal RNA". It matches the Rfam family "Bacterial small subunit ribosomal RNA", at positions 29 to 507 of the family's 1533-position model. The record is from RNAcentral.